AAUAAAAAUCUCUUUUCUUUUUAUUUAUAAUAACACAUGUACACUGCCCAAAAACCUCCAAGAGGAUGUCCUUAGAAAAAAGACGUUCUUCUAAUAGGGUUGAAGUAAUAGAGGUUGUGGUGCGGCCCAAAAAGUAUUAUCCAGUGGGUCGUGACCGAACCGAAGAUGGCCGUGAUAAAAUUUUUGUCAGUAAAUAUGAAAAGUUUCGGAUAUUCAAAAAUGUGAUUAUCCUUUCUCUGGCCAUGAUGACGCAAUAUGUGGCCUACCAGGGCACCCUCAACCUGCAGUCAUCGCUUAAUGCCGAAGAUGGCUUGGGCACAAUCGCGUGUUCCUGCAUCUAUUUGAGCAUGGGACUAUCCUGCUUGUUCCUUCCGACCCUCAUGAUCCGUCAGCUGACCUGCAAGGGGACCCUGGUGCUAGGAAUGUUUUGUUUUCUUCCCUAUAUCGGCUUGCAACUCUUUUCAAGCAAGGAAACUAUCGGGAACAGGAAAAAUACGAACAACUGGCAAAGGACUUGGCGGCUGCUAAGGGAAAUGAAAGGGACGCUAAGCUGGCCAAGGAGCAUGCCGAAAUAUAUAGCAAAAAAAUUAAACAACAGGCCGAGGACUCCGACGGGGAAGAUGACGACCUGGAUCAUGAUGUGAGGGUGGAGGACAGAGCUAAGAGGAUGUUCAAAUGUUUCUUCUCUCGGAAAAAAUGACAUAGAACAUAAAAUAUUAUUAAUACCGAGAUAGUUUUUUCGAACCACGCCUGCAAGGACAACGAAGGAGCCCUAUAAUUGCCACCCACAAAAAAACCCGAAAAAAAUCCAGCACACGAGCGGGGGAGCUGCAAUGGCAAUUACUUGGCGUUGAUGAUGGCCCAAGAUGCCUUCAGUUUUCACUGCAUUCGCAUCCUGGCAUCGAAGCCGGGUGAGGAGAAGGUCGUGGGACCGUAAAAGGACAAUGCUUUGAUUGCCCUGUGGAAGAUAAAGGAGAGACACGCCAGACGUUGUUAAUGUCUGGUCAUGAGUUAAACACUUCAAUAAAACGUGAGCGUGUGUGUAAGAGUGCUCUGGCCAGGGCUAUAAAACAAUUGUUUCACCAUAUUUAGUCCUUGGGCGGAAACCGAAUUAUAUUACACAUACGACACGUUGGCAUGUAUAGAGGGGGCUUUCUCGCCUGCAAAUAAUAAAAAUGAAAAGGAAUUCAAGA
This 1193-nucleotide unclassified non-coding RNA is filed under the name Drosophila ananassae. RNAcentral describes it as "GF24035". The record is from RNAcentral. Lineage: Eukaryota; Metazoa; Arthropoda; Insecta; Diptera; Drosophilidae.